AGCAUAAUAACAUAAUCAAUUCAUUUUCAAAUACAAAUUCAUUGAAAUCUGUAUCUUUCAAAUAUCCAUAUACAUAAUCGUAAAUCUGAUUCGAAACAAAUCACAUUCAUCUCAACAGCCUUUAGCUACGACCACACUUAUACCCUGUGGCUAGGCUAGAAACAGAACCGCACUUAUACCCUGCGGUGUGGGCCAGAAUACCGCACUUAUAUAUCCAAAAAUCAUAUUUUUUUUUAAAAUAAUCACAAUAUAUAUAAAACUUAAAUUUUAACAUUCUCCUAGGGCUGACCCUGCCAAGGUGUCUAGCACCCCGGUUUCGGAUUCGGAUUCGGGUUCAUACCCG
RNAcentral lists this long non-coding RNA (343 nucleotides) under Phoenix dactylifera (date palm). RNAcentral describes it as "long non-coding RNA (PDAC_LNC022858)". Lineage: Eukaryota; Viridiplantae; Streptophyta; Magnoliopsida; Arecales; Arecaceae. The record is from RNAcentral.